RNAcentral lists this ribosomal RNA (440 nucleotides) under bacterium gwi58. Its description in RNAcentral is "bacterial SSU rRNA". It matches the Rfam family "Bacterial small subunit ribosomal RNA", at positions 52 to 505 of the family's 1533-position model. The record is from RNAcentral.
CACAUGCAAGUCGAACGAUGAUCCGGUGCUUGCACCGGGGAUUAGUGCCGAACGGGUGAGUACCACGUGAGUAACCUGCCCUUNACUCUGGGAUAAGCCUGGGAAACUGGGUCUAAUACCGGAUAUGACUCCUCAUCGCAUGGUGGGGGGUGGAAAGCUUUUGUGGUUUUGGAUGGACUCGCGGCCUAUCAGCUUGUUGGUGAGGUAAUGGCUCACCAAGGCGACGACGGGUAGCCGGCCUGAGAGGGUGACCGGCCACACUGGGACUGAGACACGGCCCAGACUCCUACGGGAGGCAGCAGUGGGGAAUAUUGCACAAUGGGCGAAAGCCUGAUGCAGCGACGCCGCGUGAGGGAUGACGGCCUUCGGGUUGUAAACCUCUUUCAGUAGGGAAGAAGCGAAAGUGACGGUACCUGCAGAAGAAGCGCCGGCUAACUACG